UUUAUUCAUUAUAAUUCUCUUGGUGCUACAGAAAAUUACACUUCUAUGUUUUAGCAAACUGUAACUAUUCAGUUUUAUAUUCUAUUAUAAUAAACUUUUGAUAUGUAUUUAUUACUAAUGCCAUUUAUGUGUAGGUGUCAUUUUUUGAAUAUGCAUAAGUCAUACUUUCCCAAUUGGCAUCCAGGCUUAGCAUCUAUUUCCUAGAGAGUUUAAUGAGAUUCGGUUAAAUGACCCAACACAAGUUAAAUCCACAAAAGUGUGGAGAAACAAUCUCUGGGUGGAUUCAAAUGUUGCGACGCCUCUUCGGUGCGCUUGAUCUCUACAAAAUCUACUAGUUUUAAAGGUUUGAUGGCUAUGGAAGUCAUUUAUCUUAUGGAUCGGGAUUAUCUUGUCUUGUUUGCUGGAUUUGUUUAUCUCUUUGGAGGGUUUCUUCCCUCCAAUUGCCAUAUUGUGAUUGGUCCAGGUGGUAUGUUGACAGAUUGGUGGAAUGACUAGUUUGCGUGAUAUUUUGUGGGUGUUUCAUGUUAUGUUUGAAGAGGAUAAAACAGUGCAGUUUUCUGUUAUCUGUUUUCUGUUAUGUUUUGUGGGAUUUUUUUUAAUUGUUUGGCAAGGCACUUGUGGAAAUUGUGCUUUAUGAUGGAUUUUUUUUUGGCGAUUGGGUGUGUUG
This is a long non-coding RNA of Zingiber officinale, 667 nucleotides long. RefSeq lists it as uncharacterized. The transcript is spliced from 3 exons. NCBI's taxonomy places the organism in Eukaryota, Viridiplantae, Streptophyta, Magnoliopsida, Zingiberales, Zingiberaceae. The record is from RefSeq and is a predicted model, not a curated record.